This is a non-coding RNA of Tinamus guttatus (white-throated tinamou), 629 nucleotides long. The record is from RefSeq and is a predicted model, not a curated record. Lineage: Eukaryota; Metazoa; Chordata; Aves; Tinamiformes; Tinamidae.
AACUCACUGGUUGUACAAGCUGCUAAUGCCAAGAGCAAAUGCUAAAUCAUAAGACAUCACUCAGAUAUGUAAUGUCUGCUCUUUAACCCUUGCUUUGCACCAGAAAGGUACCCAUCAUCUGAAGUUAUUGCUUAGCACAAGUAAGUUGCCAUUUCUGGCUUUGCCAGAUAAAACUAGAAACAAGAUGUAGAUUUUUUUUUAACAGUAUUAUUUAUGUGAGUUUAAUAGAUAGGUAGCAUAAUUAGGGAUUGAAAGUGCUUUCAGUUGAUCUUUGUAGCCACAGUAUUUCUUUACAUUAUGCCUGCGAUGCUAUGCUCUCAUUCUCUCCAUUCAGUGAUAGCUACGUUUAUGAUCUGUGCAAGUUCCAGACUCCAGCAAUCAACCACUAUCUGGAAUUACUGUAAGUUGUUCACCUAAAAUUUUCCUACUUGGAAACUGGUAUAACAUUAGAUUAAUGUGCAGGUUUCUACUUCUGUAGCGCAGUGUAGUUUCAGUCAUCAGGUGAUCCCUAACUGGAGAAUAUACCCUUGUUUUUGUGAGAAACUGUUUCAGUAAAUUUUCCUUUGAAGAACAAGAUAGUUCAAAGUAGUAGUGAAAUUACAAUGAUCACUAAUUUUUUUUAAGUAUGU